Molecule: ribosomal RNA, 650 nt
Filed under: uncultured bacterium
Lineage: Bacteria
Description: bacterial SSU rRNA
Rfam family: Bacterial small subunit ribosomal RNA
Source: RNAcentral
CUGGCUCAGGAUGAACGCUGGCGGCGUGCCUAACACAUGCAAGUCGAACGGAUCCAUAUUGAAACCUAGUGAUGUAUGGAUUAGUGGCGGACGGGUGAGUAACGCGUGGAUAACCUACCGUAUACAGGGGGAUAACACUUAGAAAUAGGUGCUAAUACCGCAUAAGCGCACGGUUCCGCAUGGAACAGUGUGAAAAACUCCGGUGGUAUACGAUGGAUCCGCGUCUGAUUAGCCAGUUGGCGGGGUAACGGCCCACCAAAGCGACGAUCAGUAGCCGGCCUGAGAGGGUGAACGGCCACAUUGGGACUGAGACACGGCCCAAACUCCUACGGGAGGCAGCAGUGGGGAAUAUUGCACAAUGGGGGAAACCCUGAUGCAGCGACGCCGCGUGAGUGAAGAAGUAUUUCGGUACGUAAAGCUCUAUCAGCAGGGAAGAAAAACCGGCCUUAGGGCCGCCAGACGGUACCUGACCAAGAAGCCCCGGCUAACUACGUGCCAGCAGCCGCGGUAAUACGUAGGGGGCAAGCGUUAUCCGGAUUUACUGGGUGUAAAGGGAGCGCAGACGGCAGCGCAAGUCUGGAGUGAAAUGCCGGGGCCCAACCCCGGAACUGCUUUGGAAACUGUGCAGCUCGAGUGCANGAGAGGUAAGC